GCCGGGUGCGGUGGCGCGCGCCUGUAAUCCAAGCUACCGGGAGGCUGAGGCUGGCGGAUCGUUUGAGCUCAGGAGCUCUGAGCUGCAGCGGACUAUGCCGAUCGGGUGUCCGCACUAAGUUCGGUAUCGAUAUGGUGCUCCUGGGGGAGCUCGGGACCACCAGGUCGCCUAAGGAGGGGUGCACCGGCCCAGGUCGGAAACGGAGCAGGUCAAAGCCCCCGUGCCGCUCAGUAGUGGGAUCGCGCCUGUGAAUAGACGCUGUAGUGCAGCCUGAGUAAUACAGCGGGACCCAGUCUUU
This is an unclassified non-coding RNA of 298 nucleotides. It matches the Rfam family "Metazoan signal recognition particle RNA". From Rfam's summary of the family: The signal recognition particle (SRP) is a universally conserved ribonucleoprotein. It is involved in the co-translational targeting of proteins to membranes. The eukaryotic SRP consists of a 300-nucleotide 7S RNA and six proteins: SRPs 72, 68, 54, 19, 14, and 9. The record is from Ensembl.